AUUGAACGCUGGCGGCAGGCCUAACACAUGCAAGUCGAGCGGAUGAAGGGAGCUUGCUCCUGGAUUCAGCGGCGGACGGGUGAGUAAUGCCUAGGAAUCUGCCUGGUAGUGGGGGAUAACGUCCGGAAACGGGCGCUAAUACCGCAUACGUCCUGAGGGAGAAAGUGGGGGAUCUUCGGACCUCACGCUAUCAGAUGAGCCUAGGUCGGAUUAGCUAGUUGGUGGGGUAAAGGCCUACCAAGGCGACGACCCGUAACUGGUCUGAGAGGAUGAUCAGUCACACUGGAACUGAGACACGGUCCAGACUCCUACAGGAGGCAGCAGUGGGGAAUAUUGGACAAUGGGCGAAAGCCUGAUCCAGCCAUGCCGCGUGUGUGAAGAAGGUCUUCGGAUUGUAAAGCACUUUAAGUUGGGAGGAAGGGCAGUAAGUUAAUACCUUGCUGUUUUGACGUUACCAACAGAAUAAGCACCGGCUAACUUCGUG
This 484-nucleotide ribosomal RNA is filed under the name uncultured bacterium. Its description in RNAcentral is "partial 16S ribosomal RNA". It matches the Rfam family "Bacterial small subunit ribosomal RNA", at positions 30 to 507 of the family's 1533-position model. The record is from RNAcentral.